GCCUACGGGGCGCAGCAGUGAGGAAUAUUGGUCAAUGGACGAGAGUCUGAACCAGCCAAGUAGCGUGAAGGAUGACUGCCCUAUGGGUUGUAAACUUCUUUUAUAUGGGAAUAAAACAGGGUAUGCAUACCCUCUUGUAUGUACCAUAUGAAUAAGGAUCGGCUAACUCCGUGCCAGUAGCCGCGGUAAUACGGAGGAUCCGAGCGCUAUCCGGAUUUAUUGGGUUUAAAGGGUGCGUAGGCGGUCCGGAAAGUCAGCGGUAAAAGCCAGGGGCUCAACCCCGGCGAGCCGUUGAAACUGUCGGG
This 305-nucleotide ribosomal RNA is filed under the name uncultured bacterium. RNAcentral's name for it is "bacterial SSU rRNA". It matches the Rfam family "Bacterial small subunit ribosomal RNA", at positions 337 to 640 of the family's 1533-position model. The record is from RNAcentral.